Molecule: long non-coding RNA, 4935 nt
Filed under: Brassica napus (rape)
Lineage: Eukaryota; Viridiplantae; Streptophyta; Magnoliopsida; Brassicales; Brassicaceae
Description: long non-coding RNA (BNAP_LNC000233)
Source: RNAcentral
UUUUAUUAAUCAAAUCAUAAACUAAAUACAAAUUUAAACUCAAUGGUUAUAUAUAUAAUAAAACCAACAAAAUCCUAAUAAAAAUAAUUAUCUAAAUAAUUAAUAAACUAAAUAAUAAAUAUUUGAAAAUAUCCCAAUAUUUAUCUGCAUCAUAUUUGAACUAACACCAACCACACAACAAUUUUGUUAAACACUUGUAUGUUUGACUAUGUCCUUGAUUUAAUUAGAUGAGUUCAUUUGUAACGCCUUUGACGAGGAUAAAAAUGUAAUUUGAUGGCUAGUGUGGGAAUAACAAGUAAUAGGGCUGGGCAAAUAAACCGAACCCGAUAACCCGAACCGAAUCCGAUCCGAUAAAAAUGAAUCUGAACCGAUCCGAACCCGAUGUAAGUACCGAAUGGAUCUUGUUUUGUGGUAUUUCGGGUUAUGGGUAUUAUCCGAACCGAACCCGAAUCUAAAUGGAUAUCCGAUAGAACCCGAAACAUUCAAAACCUCGAAAAGAUAUUGUACCAAACAUGAUCUCAAUUCCUAAUAUGUAUCCAAAAUACACUAAGAAAUACUGAACAUCUAAAAUACUUAUCUAUUACAUGAAAGUUGGUGGUUCUAUUACAUGAAUGUUGGUGGUUCUAUUACAUGAAGGUUGAUGGUUGAAGAUGGCCGUUGAAUCUUGAAGUAUUUAGAUAUAUGUUUUGUUUUCGUUAAAAAAUGUUUAUCAUUUCAUGAGAACUUGGUUUUUGUUUUAUGCUUUUAUUUAUUUGGUUUUCUUUUUAUCAGUAAAUAUGUUUACUUUUCGUUUGAUUUUGAAUGAUCAUGGUUGAUGUUUCUUAUUUUUGAAUCGAUUUUACUUAAGUUUUGGUUACAAAAUAGGUACAAAUCAGGUAUUUUAAAACUGAAGAACCGAUUUUACUCAUGUUUUGGUUAUAAAAUAGGUAAAAAUCAGGUACUUUUAAACCGAAAAACCGAUUGGGACCCGAACCCGAAAGUAUAUUGGGUUGUACCGGUUCUUUGAAGAUUUACUAACCCCGACCCGAACCCGAUAGAACCCGAACCGGUCCCGAACCGAACUUUCAUAUAAUCCGAAUGGGGCUGAUUUUGAUAAACCCGAAAAACCGAAACCCGAUUGGAUAAAACCGAAACCCAAUUGGGACUCCAAAUGCCCAGGCCUAGUUGAAAUUGACAUUGUAUUUGAUCACUGAAACUAUGAAAAAAGAAUCUCUUUUUGACGUUUUUAUUUAAUGCAAUGCAAUGAUAUUCAUAUAAAUCAAUACAACAAAGAGUUGAGAAAAAAGUUGACGAAAAAAGCAAACAAACAACAAAAUAUUGUACGGAAACAUUCAAAUGUUGGGAGUUAAACUCAUAUUAACAUUUUGUUAAUUACCAAAGCGUUUUUGCACAGUUUAAGAAACCAUUCGAUCCUCUGAGAAAGCUCUGCAUCGUUUCCGGCUCCUGACUCCAACUCGUUACUACAAGACUCGAUGGCGCUGAUUGCCGCGUUCAGCCAGACGUCGACGUCGGCAUGCGCAUCAACAAGCAUAGCAGAUAUCGAGUCGUCGAGCUGCUCCACAGCAUCUUGGUAAUUCUUCUGGCAGUCCUCGAGUGUGGUCUCCGUAGCCGGCUCUAGAUCCUCUCGGCUAAGCAUUUCCUUAAUAUAGGCGGAAGUGGAGGAGGCGUUAGCUGAGGCGGCAGAGAUAGCUAUGAUCUCGAUCUGGUUGGUGGUGGCUGCGAACUCGCCAGACUCAGGACGGGUCUGUAUGCUUGAGAGGCAGAGUUUUGGAUCGUCACAGUGUUUGCACAGAUCGGUAAUAAGAUUGGAAUCAGCAUUGACAUAUGAGAGAUAGAGAAUGAAAAUGAAGAGAAGUCUCGAGAAUUGCUUCAUCUUUGAUUAUUGAUUAGGUUUGGAAUGAAGAUUAUAAGAAUGAUGAAGAAAGAUUUAUAUUUGUAAAAGGGAAACCUACAAAACAAUAAUCAAAGUUCAAAGCGAAUUUUGUUUAUUUGUUGUUGAAGAAUUCUGUUUUUAGCAAUUUUGUUUAUAAUGAAAUGGAAAACUAAUCUGACUUAAAAAAUAAGGCGGGAAAUAUGCAACUACAAACAGAAAACAAUUUGGCCUAUGGGCUGAGAUGCUAUUUCUGAACGAGAUUGAAACCAAUAAUAUUUCAAAAUUUUUAUUGGAUUUUCAUGGUCUCAAUUAGGCAUAAGCUUUCAGUUUUCAGUUCGGUUAUGGUUUGAUUUUGGUUCGGUUACUUUGUUUUUGAUUGAGGUAACACCGUAACAGUGGUAGAAAACAAUUAAUAUCCGAUAAAAUUCUGGUUUCAAUCCGGUUAUGGUUUUCAGAUAAAUCAGAUAAAAAUCAGAUUUUGAUUAUUAUUUUUUCAGUUUUUCAGAUUAAAUAUCUAGUAAAUCAAAUAUAUCUAAAUAUUUUGGAUAAAAAAUAUUAGGCAAUUUGGUUCUUUCGGUUAAUUUGGAAAAUUUUGAAAUAUUUCAUAUAAAAAUCAGGUAAUUUGAUUUUUUGGGUAUUUGGUUUAUAAGUAAUAUUUUAAAAUUAUUUUAAAUUUUUAUCAAAUAUAAUUAAUAGUUUAGAUAAUCAAACUAUAUUUUAGAUAUUCAUGCACUCAUUCGGUUUUCGGUUCAGAGAUAUAAAAAUUACUCGCUUAUUUGUGAACAUCUGUUGGUUUUAGAUUUGAUUUCGUUCAGUUAUCGGUUCUCAAUUUAUAUGCGUAGACCUAGUCUUGAUAUAUGGAUUUUAUUAUCAGCUCAUGCAAUAUAUAUACGAUCCUUUGAAUAUUAGGAGUAUAUUAGCUUUUGAUUCUUUACCAAUUCAUUUUCUUCAUUUAUAGUGAGUUGCCCAGAAAAGGAAAUAAAUAAUUGAUAAUUGACACGAUCACGCUUCCCGCGUUUGAGGCCGAGAAUAUACGAAGGAAUUGAAGUAUUUAAAAAACAAUAGUGUUUCGUUAGACAUAUCUUUAGCAAAGACCUUAAAAAAAAUGAUAACUGUUGGACUUGACCUCAUCACCCUACGAAGAACAUGUAACAAUAAGCAAAACUUUUUUUUUUUUGCAAAAAACAAUAAGCAAAACUUGAGACCCAAAUAAUCUAAAAUGCAAACCGUUUCUAGUAUUACCUUACGUAAAAGAAACUAGACCAAAUAUUAACGAGUAUGAAUGAAUAGUCGUAUUCUUUGUUUGUUUGAGUAUAUAACUCGAUCAUGAAACAUUACUCUUUUUUUUUUUGAAACACCGAUCAUGAAACAUUACAUUUUACUAAACCCUUUAACAAAAAAAAAAAAGAAACAUUACAUUUUACUUAUUUUUAGGGUUUAGUAAAUCUUUUUUUGAGAGUCCACUGUCACAAGUCACAAAAAUUACAGCAUCACGAAUUUGGAAAUUUCUAAUCUUUCUUUAAAAUAAAAGAUAAAACCGAAACAAAAAUCACUCAAGAGUUGAAAAAUUCGUGCAUCACAUGAUUCUGCAAUUAUCAGGAUCUUCUCGGUAACCACCGUACAUCACCGGAGGUGGAUACGACGAAGCUACCAUCUGGUAAGGAGUUUCACGCAUAGAUCUACAAAAUCCACAGUAACCCGAAUUCGGUAUCUCGCAUAUGCAUCUUCUCGCCGGAGCCAUCUCAUUGUUAUGUUCCAUAAGAUACGGCUGCACUGGCUGCUUCUGCUGCUGCUGAGGAGGCGGCGGCGGCGGUGGUGCGGCCUGAACUGUGACAAUGGUCGUGUGACAAACUUUCUUGCGGAGUUCACGAGUUAGCUCUGCCGUAUCAAUCCCUUCUCCCACUAUAACCAGCUGAUCGUUCUGUCCCUGAAUCGAGACAGAUCUCACACCUGCACGCGCGAAAACAAACAAAGUUGCUGAAACGUUUUUCAAAUUACCUAACUUGGCGUGCAAGUUAUUUGCAAAAGAAGUCAUAGAGAUGUUUUUACCAGAAGCUCCAGAUGCAAUUUUCAUAGCUUUCUUGAUUGAUUUCUCACUCUCGCUCAUAUCCAUCUUCAGAACUAUCCUUUGCUGAAUAAACAACCAUAUGGUAUUUGAAAAACCAACUCAGAAGAUGCAUUAUGAAUACUCUACUAGCAAGGAACAAGAAUGAUCUACACUAAAACAUCCUAGAACUAACCUAAUCACCCUUAAUCUCCCUAACUAGGGCUGGGCAAAUAAACCGAACCCGAAAACCCGAACCGAAUCCGAUCCGAUAAAAAUGAAUCUGAACCGAUCCGAACCCGAUGUAAGUACCGAAUGGAUCUUGUUUUGUGGUAUUUCGGGUUAUGGGUAUUAUCCGAACCGAACCCGAAUCUAAAUGGAUAUCCGAUAGAACCCGAAACAUUCAAAACCUCGAAAAGAUAUUGUACCAAACAUGAUCUCAAUUCCUAAUAUGUAUCCAAAAUACACUAAGAAAUACUGAACAUCUAAAAUACUUAUCUAUUACAUGAAAGUUGGUGGUUCUAUUAUAUGAAUGUUGGUGGUUCUAUUACAUGAAGGUUGAUGGUUGAAGAUGGCCGUUGAAUCUUGAAGUAUUUAGAUAUAUGUUUUGUUUUCGUUAAAAAAUGUUUAUCAUUUCAUGAGAACUUGGUUUUUGUUUUAUGCUUUUAUUUAUUUGGUUUUCUUUUUAUCAGUAAAUAUGUUUACUUUUCGUUUGAUUUUGAAUGAUCAUGGUUGAUGUUUCUUAUUUUUGAAUCGAUUUUACCUAAGUUUUGGUUAUAAAAUAGGUUUGAAUCACGUAUUUUAAAACUGAAGAACCGAUUUUACUCAUGUUUUGGUUAUAAAAUAGGUAAAAAUCAGGUACUUUUAAACCAAAAAAUCGAUUGGAACCCGAACCCGAAUGUAUAUUGGGUUGUACCGGUUCUUUGAAGAUUUACUAACCCCGACCCGAACCCGAUAGAACCCGAACCGAUCCCGAACCGAACUUUCAUAUAAUUCGAACGGGGCUGAUUUUGAUAAA